GACGAACCGUGCGAACGUUGUUCGGAAUCACUGGGCUUAAAGGGCGCGUAGGCGGGCUAUCAAGUCUGGGGUGAAAUCCCACGGCUCAACCGUGGAACUGCCUCAGAUACUGACGGCCUCGAGGAAGGUAGGGGCAUGCGGAACUGUAGGUGGAGCGGUGAAAUGCGUUGAUAUCUACAGGAACUCCGGUGGCGAAAGCGGCGUGCUGGACCUUUUCUGACGCUGAGGCGCGAAAGCUAGGGGAGCAAACGGG
This 253-nucleotide ribosomal RNA is filed under the name uncultured bacterium. RNAcentral's name for it is "partial 16S ribosomal RNA". It matches the Rfam family "Bacterial small subunit ribosomal RNA", at positions 524 to 776 of the family's 1533-position model. The record is from RNAcentral.